UUUUUUUUUUUUUUUGAAUUAUACAGUCGAGGGCGCGGUGUUGAGGCUUGCCUUNCCCGCCGGCNGACCGGCGCCGGGUGAGUCCUUUAAUGCAACCUGGCCGUCACAGGAGGAUAACCGGUAGACCUUCCGCCUAAUACUCCAUAAUACUCUUCGGGGACAUCCCCGAGGGGUCAAAGGAAUUCAUUCCGGUGACGGAUGGGCAUGCGGCGCAUUAGCUAGUCGGCGGGGUAACGGCCCACCGAGGCGACGAUGCGUAGGGGUUCUGAGAGGAAGGUCCCCCACAUUGGAACUGAGACACGGUCCAAACUCCUACGGGAGGCAGCAGUGAGGAAUAUUGGUCAAUGGGCGGAAGCCUGAACCAGCCAAGUCGCGUGAGGGAUUAAGGCCCUAUGGGUCGUAAACCUCUUUUGUCAGGGAGCAAGGCCUCUCACGUGUGGGAGGUUGGAGAGUACCUGAAGAAAAAGCAUCGGCUAAGUCCGUGCCAGCAGCCGCGGUAAUACGGAGGAUGCGAGCGUUAUCCGGAUUUAUUGGGUUUAAAGGGUGCGUAAGCGGGACCUUAAGUCAGCGGUAAAAUUGCGGUGCUCAACGCCGUAGAGCCGUUGAAACUGGGGUUCUUGAGUGAGCGAAAAGUAUGCGGAAUGCGUGGUGUAGCGGUGAAAUGCAUAGAUAUCACCCGGAACCCCGAUUGCGAAGGCAGCAUACAGGCGCUCACCUGACGCUGAGGCCAGGAAGUGCGGGUAUCGAGCA
This 750-nucleotide ribosomal RNA is filed under the name uncultured bacterium. RNAcentral's name for it is "bacterial SSU rRNA". It matches the Rfam family "Bacterial small subunit ribosomal RNA", at positions 79 to 774 of the family's 1533-position model. The record is from RNAcentral.